GUCUACGAGAAAAGGGUAGCAAUAUCCUGAGUAAAGUGGCGCACGGGUGAGUAACACGUAGGUAAUCUGCCUUUAGGACGGGAACAACCACGCGAAAGCGUGGCUAAUACCCGAUGAUGCAGCGGCUCCGCAUGGAGACAGUUGUUAAAUCCCGCAAGGGGCCUAUUGACGAGCCUGCGUCUGAUUAGCUAGUUGGUGAGGUAACGGCCCACCAAGGCUACGAUCAGUAGCUGGUCUGAGAGGAUGAUCAGCCACACUGGAACUGAGACACGGUCCAGACUCCUACGGGAGGCAGCAGUGAGGAAUAUUGCGCAAUGGCCGAAAGGCUGACGCAGCGACGCCGCGUGAAGGAUGAAGUUCGUUAGAAUGUAAACUUCUUUUGUAGGGGAUGAAUGUUCCGUUUUACGGAAUUGACUGUACCCUGCGAAUAAGGAUCGGCUAACUACGUGCCAGCAGCCGCGGUAAUACGUAGGAUCCGAGCGUUGUCCGGAAUUACUGGGUGUAAAGGGCGUGUAGGUGGGUCUCUAAGUCGGUGGUGAAAUCUUGCAGCUUAACUGUAAAAUUGCCAUCGAUACUGGAGGUCUUGAGUACGGCAGAGGGAAAUGGAAUUCAUGGUGUAGCGGUGAAAUGUGUAGAUAUCAUGAAGAACACCGGUAGCGAAGGCGGUUUCCUGGUCCGUUACUGACACUGAGGCGCGAAAGCGUG
This 705-nucleotide ribosomal RNA is filed under the name uncultured bacterium. Its description in RNAcentral is "bacterial SSU rRNA". It matches the Rfam family "Bacterial small subunit ribosomal RNA", at positions 61 to 763 of the family's 1533-position model. The record is from RNAcentral.